Mauremys reevesii (Reeves's turtle) is the source of this 390-nucleotide long non-coding RNA. RefSeq lists it as uncharacterized. The record is from RefSeq and is a predicted model, not a curated record. NCBI's taxonomy places the organism in Eukaryota, Metazoa, Chordata, Testudines, Geoemydidae. The transcript is spliced from 4 exons.
AGAGCUGGAAUGGGUCAUAGGACCACAAUUAUAUAGUUGUGUACCAUUGCUACUGCAAACCUUAUAUGGGAUGUCAUUGCUGGAGCCAUCUAACAUGGAAGGCUAAUAAAGAUAACAAAGAAAAGAAAGGUCUCUAACCUAGAGAGAACCAUUAUCAAAUUAUACAACAAGGGGAACUGAAUGCUGGAGAAAGAUGUAGGAUCGAUGCCUUUGGAGAAGGAAGUUAUCCACAGAACAGGUACAGCCAGGGUGCAGCUGUGCAAGCAUCACUCCACUGCCCUGCCAAUGUGCCUCAACUCUGAACUGGAAGGAGAUGAGGCAAACGUGAAAUGACUCACCAGACUCAUCUUCUGAGGUAGAACCACUUUCUCCAGAAGUGGUGUGAAGAAG